GGGUCCGGACACACUGAGGAUUGACAGACAGUAUUCAUGGGCGAGCUCCUCUUCGAUCAUAUUUCAAAUGGUGCGAGGUUCUUUCAUGAUUGUGUGAUAGGUGGUGCAUGGCCGUUCUUAGUUCGUGGAGUGAUCUGUCUGCUUAAUUGCGUUUCAUAUUUACGAAUGUCGCUUACGUGAUUGCUGCAGACCUCGUCUCCUCUGGAGGCGACGCGUCUCUUCAACUCACUCGCACAUUCUCUUGAACGCAACGAGCGUGACCGCAACCUCUUGUUGUGUAUACCAAGUGUGGCGCUGGCUUGCCAGCUCGCACUCCAAUGCACGUAUUUUGGCCACAUUGUCUCGCGGCGCCUCGGCGUUUGCAGCAAUGUCCAAAUAAACUUGAGGGACCGCUGUAACAAUUCUUUUAAACCAGAGGAAGGUUGCGGCAAUAACAGGUCUGUGAUGCCCUUAGAUGUCCCGGGCUGCACACGUGCUACAAUGAUCAUACAGGAGCAUCUUUGCAAUACCA
Molecule: ribosomal RNA, 511 nt
Filed under: Hastigerina pelagica
Lineage: Eukaryota; Foraminifera; Rotaliida; Hantkeninidae
Description: bacterial SSU rRNA
Rfam family: Eukaryotic small subunit ribosomal RNA
Source: RNAcentral